AACACCACCAGCAGCAGCAGCAGCAAUAUGGAUGAUCCACACCACGCGAUACAUGGAGGCGCGCACGCACACGUACAGGGGGAGUAGGCACGUAAACACGGGAGCGCGCCUCCGUGGAAGCUAACAUGAACGCAUCGCGGAGCCCCGGAUGACGUCGGUCUCGCCCUCUGGAAGCAUCAAAUCACCGUCAACUCAUUAAAUAUCUAUCACAAACCGCAAUGUCCGAAUGUUAUGUACGCCCAUGGAUACCUAUUCGAUUGUAUUUGACACCAUCGUAAAUAAAUUAGUUCCAAACGCA
Cynoglossus semilaevis (tongue sole) is the source of this 298-nucleotide long non-coding RNA. RefSeq lists it as uncharacterized. The record is from RefSeq and is a predicted model, not a curated record. The transcript has 2 exons. Lineage: Eukaryota; Metazoa; Chordata; Actinopteri; Pleuronectiformes; Cynoglossidae.